CCGGCCUCUCUCGGCCGCCGCCAUUUUGUCGGCUGCUGCCGCCGCCCGCCUCCAUCCGCCGCCAUCCGCCGUUGGAGCCGCCGUUAACGCCGCCGCCGCCCGCCGGGACUGAGCGGGGCGGCCCCGCGCCGCCAUGAGGGCCAAGUGGCGCAAGAAGCGAAUGCGCAGGCUGAAGCGCAAGAGGAGGAAGAUGCGGCAGAGGUCCAAGUAGGCGCCGCGCCCGGCCCCGGAGCCCCGGAGCGGAGGAGCCGCGGGGGAGCUGCACGGGGAGCUGGCGGCGGGGCCGCGUGGGGACCGGGGCUGCGCUGUGUAACGGCCCCGGGGCCGCCAAUAAAGCUUGGAUGUGUUCGUUGGACGCGGGCUGCUGCUGCUGCUGGGGGCGAGGGGGGCGGGGGGGGGGCGCCGGUAGGGACCGGGGGGCACCGGGGGCAGGGACCGGGCACCGGAUCCCGGGUGCUGGGGCC
This 464-nucleotide long non-coding RNA is filed under the name Anas platyrhynchos (mallard). RNAcentral describes it as "lncRNA (ENSAPLG00020013645.1)". The record is from RNAcentral. Lineage: Eukaryota; Metazoa; Chordata; Aves; Anseriformes; Anatidae.